Molecule: long non-coding RNA, 1456 nt
Organism: Olea europaea var. sylvestris
Lineage: Eukaryota; Viridiplantae; Streptophyta; Magnoliopsida; Lamiales; Oleaceae
Exons: 3
Source: RefSeq, a predicted model, not a curated record
UGUUUCUGCUUAAAAAGUUGCUCAGUAUCACAAAAACACAAGUUGAUGCUUAUUCAAGAGUGUAACUUAACUAUAUUUCAAGCCAGUAGUUGCCAAUUUUAUCCUUCUCCACCUCAUUCUCUCGUAUCUUUCUUUCUUUCCUUCAUGAUUCUCUUCUUUCCUUCCUGGGUGCCUGCCUGCCUGCCUUCCUUCCUUUUCUUCUUUGUGCAAUACAACAGCUCAGGUGCCUCAGUUCUAGCAACUACCUCUGCAGCAACUCACACCACCAAAAUUCUCUUCUACCUCGCCAUUUCUUUCCUUGUUAUUUUCAAGUUUCUCCAGCCGCACACGGAGUGCCUCCCCUGUUUCUAGCUCCUAUACCACUAGUGACAGUAUCAACUUCGGCUGAAUCCUUUCUCCUCUGCUUUUGCUAUUUGCUAAACUCUCUCAAACUUCCAACCCCCCACACCACACGCUACUGCUAAGCUGCACGUGGCAGCCACUUCAUCAUCAUUAGCUUUGGUGUCUCUAUAAUCAGAAACAGUUGGAGAGGGGUUCUACGUGUCAGCUUCUGCUGUCAUUUUCAGCAACUUUAAUCUCUAGUUUUUUUUAAGAAAAAAAUAUAGUUUUACUUUCUUAAUAUUGUAGUAUCAGUAAUUUCUAAAAUGAGUCGAUUAUUUCUAUUGAAACUAUACCUCUCAAUUUAUAAUUUGCUUAGAAUAGAUUAUUGUAUUAAUUCCUAAUUAUCACUUAUCGUGUAUGCAGGGGUGCAGAAUAUCCUGAUCUCUGGCCUUCUCCCUCCUAUAAUGAGCCUCUGGACGUUUCUAAGAACUUUACAUUUGAUGUGAUAUCAGGCAUCCUGGCAGGGGAAACUAGAAUUCGGAAAGUGGAGGACCAAACUUUGUCCUAGUUAUGAUGAUAUGGAGGCUAUCUUUGGAAAUGACUGUGCUAUAGGACAUUGCGCUGUAAUCGACAAUGAUAAUUUAUCCUCCAUACCCGAUAAAAAAAUGAGUGAAGUUGACGGUCAAAACGAUGAUAUAGAUCCAGGCCCAGUUCGAGCUCCUAAGCAUAACAUCGAAGUAGGAACCAACAAAAUUCGAUGACGACGUACCCAACCCAAUGAUGAAAGUCGCAUAGCCAUAUCAAGCAUUGCUGAAUCGCCUAAAAAAAUUGCAAAUGCAAUGGAGAUUCAAGCAACGUUAGAUACACUAAACCAUAUCAAUUGGCAAUUGAUUCUAGAAAAAUUACAAAACAUUGAGAAGCAUGACAUAAUGCAAGUCAUGAAAGUAUUUCAUUCUGAUGAGAGUCUGGCUAGAGUAUUUAUGAGCUUGACUGAUAAAGAAUUCAUGUGUGAUUUGGUCUUUGAGAAUAUUUGUCAUGAACCGCCUCCACUACUUUAAGAUGACGUGAUUGGAUAAUUCAACAAACAUAUGUAAAAGUAUGAUAUUUAUGUUGGUAUGAAUUGCUACUUCUUGUA